AGGAUUAAACAACAACUAUAACAAUGGUAAAUUCUUACCUUAACCUCAGAUACAAAUUUCUUAUCCAACUUGUAACGUUCCAGCAAAGCAU
Sinocyclocheilus anshuiensis is the source of this 91-nucleotide long non-coding RNA. RefSeq lists it as uncharacterized. The record is from RefSeq and is a predicted model, not a curated record. NCBI's taxonomy places the organism in Eukaryota, Metazoa, Chordata, Actinopteri, Cypriniformes, Cyprinidae. The transcript has 3 exons.